UCGAAACCUGCCCAGCAGAGCGACCCGUGAACAUGUUCAACCUCGUGGGUGUUGGGGCGUUGCUCGGUGCCUCGUGUGCCUGCCCGCCCCUCUCCCAGGCCGGGGGAGCGCCCACUCGUGGGCUGUUUCCGCGGCUAACCAACGAACCCCGGCGCUUAAAUGCGUCAAGGAAUAUAAACUUUUAGUGUGUGCCCUCCUAUCGUCCGGUUAGCCGGGCGUUGGAGCGGUGCCAUGUCUUAACAAUAAACGACUCUCGGCAACGGAUAUCUCGGCUCUCGCAUCGAUGAAGAACGUAGCGAAAUGCGAUACUUGGUGUGAAUUGCAGAAUCCCGUGAACCAUCGAGUUUUUGAACGCAAGUUGCGCCCGAAGCUUCGGCUGAGGGCACGUCUGCCUGGGCGUCACGCAUCGCGUCUCCCCCAAAAUCCACCUCGGUGGAGGGGAAGGAGGAUGGUUUCCCGCGACUCACCGGUCGCGGCUGGCCUAAAAUUGGAGCCCUCGGCAUCGGUAUGCUGCGGCGAUAGGUGGUGAACAAGGCCUCGGCCAAGCAAGCAACCCGUCGCGCAUGCCGUGCCAAGUUGGGCUCGCAGGACCCUUGGUCGUUGCCCCUGAGGCAACCAAACCGUUGCGACCC
RNAcentral lists this ribosomal RNA (632 nucleotides) under Silene reticulata. Its description in RNAcentral is "eukaryotic LSU rRNA". The stretch from base 249 to 402 matches the Rfam family "5.8S ribosomal RNA". Lineage: Eukaryota; Viridiplantae; Streptophyta; Magnoliopsida; Caryophyllales; Caryophyllaceae. The record is from RNAcentral.